RNAcentral lists this ribosomal RNA (501 nucleotides) under uncultured bacterium. Its description in RNAcentral is "partial 16S ribosomal RNA". It matches the Rfam family "Bacterial small subunit ribosomal RNA", at positions 29 to 523 of the family's 1533-position model. The record is from RNAcentral.
AUUGAACGCUGGCGGCAUGCCUUACACAUGCAAGUCGAACGGCAGCACGGGUGCUUGCACCUGGUGGCGAGUGGCGAACGGGUGAGUAAUACAUCGGAACGUACCUUAUCGUGGGGGAUAACGCAGCGAAAGCUGUGCUAAUACCGCAUACGCCCUGAGGGGGAAAGCGGGGGAUCGCAAGACCUCGCGCGAUUAGAGCGGCCGAUGCCUGAUUAGCUUGUUGGUGGGGUAAAAGCCCACCAAGGCGACGAUCAGUAGCUGGGCUGAGAGGACGAUAAGCCACACUGGGACUGAGACACGGCCCAGACUCCUACGGGAGGCAGCAGUGGGGAAUGUUGGACAAUGGGGGCAACCCUGAUCCAGCAAUGCCGCGUGAGUGAAGAAGGCCUUCGGGUUGUAAAGCUCUUUUGUCAGGGAAGAAACACCGGCUCUAACACAGUCCGGGAAUGACGGUACCUGAAGAAUAAGCACCGGCUAACUACGUGCCAGCCGCCGCCGUAA